UUUCCUUUUUGCAUUAGCACACCUAUGUAUAGAGAGAGAUUCAUGUAGGUGAGGUUGGAGAGCUAUGUAUUUUGAGGAUCAAAUGUAUUCAUUUUGGAGAAUGAUGUAAAUGUAAAGAAUGCAACUAUUGUAAUAGUUAGUAAAGUACUCUCUUUAUUUCACUCGUAUAUCUUGUGGAUUACUUGCUCUUCUUGUUGUUGGCACUGUUUGUGCCCUCGUUGAAUGUGUAUGUUUAGAAUUUAAAGUCCUGGGUAAAUUCUUGUACACAUUCCUGUUGUUGAGCCUUGGGCGGACAGGGGAGGUGCUGUCCGUUCGGCGGUCCGUCGCCGCGGCCGAAUCGUGCCAAAUUGGUAGUGGUUUCGGGGCGGGGCGUGACAGCUAGAAUCCUUCCAAUCCAACCCAAAGGAAGAUUCUAAACCAAAAAAUUGAGCCUCAAAAGCCCUAGCUUCAAAAUGCUCAAAAUUAACCCUAAAAUCACAUUCUAGGGUUUCAUCUCAAAGAAACCCUCAAAUCUCGAAAUCUAGAGGAGAGAACAAGUCACUUACCUCUAAGAAGCUUCAAACCAAGCUCAAAGUCCUCAAACUUCAAGGAUCUUCC
This 597-nucleotide long non-coding RNA is filed under the name Ananas comosus (pineapple). RNAcentral's name for it is "long non-coding RNA (ACOM_LNC037659)". Lineage: Eukaryota; Viridiplantae; Streptophyta; Magnoliopsida; Poales; Bromeliaceae. The record is from RNAcentral.